AGGAGCCGUAUGAGAUGAAAAUCUCAUGUACGGUUCUGUAACGGAGAUUCUUUGAAUUCAAUCAUAGAUGAUGGAAUCAUCAAAGAUUUGACCUUUUCAAACUCUGC
Molecule: non-coding RNA, 107 nt
Filed under: Helianthus annuus (common sunflower)
Lineage: Eukaryota; Viridiplantae; Streptophyta; Magnoliopsida; Asterales; Asteraceae
Source: RNAcentral